RNAcentral lists this ribosomal RNA (494 nucleotides) under uncultured bacterium. RNAcentral describes it as "bacterial SSU rRNA". It matches the Rfam family "Bacterial small subunit ribosomal RNA", at positions 28 to 511 of the family's 1533-position model. The record is from RNAcentral.
GAUGAACGCUAGCUACAGGCUUAACACAUGCAAGUCGAGGGGCAGCAUGAACAUAGCUUGCUAUGUUUGAUGGCGACCGGCGCACGGGUGCGUAACACGUAUCCAAUCUGCCCGUUACUCGGGGAUAGCCUUCUGAAAGGAAGAUUAAUACCCGAUGGCAUGUAUUUCCGGCAUCGGAGAUACAUUAAAGAUUUAUCGGUAACGGAUGAGGAUGCGUACGAUUAGCUUGUUGGCGGGGUAACGGCCCACCAAGGCUACGAUCGUUAGGGGUUCUGAGAGGAAGGUCCCCCACACUGGAACUGAGACACGGUCCAGACUCCUACGGGAGGCAGCAGUGAGGAAUAUUGGUCAAUGGGCGCGAGCCUGAACCAGCCAAGUAGCGUGAAGGAUGACUGCCCUACGGGUUGUAAACUUCUUUUGUUUGGGAAUAAAUGAUACUACGUGUAGGUGCUUGUAUGUACCGUAUGAAUAAGCAUCGGCUAACUCCGUGCCAG